UACGAAGGGGGCUAGCGUUGUUCGGAAUUACUGGGCGUAAAGCGCGCGUAGGCGGACUGCCAAGUCAGAGGUGAAAUCCCGGGGCUUAACCCCGGAACUGCCUUUGAAACUGUCAGUCUGGAGUGUCGGAGGGGAUAGUGGAAUUCCUAGUGUAGAGGUGAAAUUCGUAGAUAUUAGGAGGAACACCGGUGGCGAAGGCGACUGUCUGGACGACUACUGACGCUGAGGCGCGAAAGCGUGGGGAGCAAACAGG
This 253-nucleotide ribosomal RNA is filed under the name uncultured bacterium. RNAcentral describes it as "partial 16S ribosomal RNA". It matches the Rfam family "Bacterial small subunit ribosomal RNA", at positions 524 to 776 of the family's 1533-position model. The record is from RNAcentral.